UCAGGAUGAACGCUAGCGGCAGGCUUAACACAUGCAGUCGAGGGGUACAGUCCCGCUUCGGCGGGAGCUGACGACGGCGCACGGGUGAGUAACGCGUAUGCAACUUUCCUGUAACUGGAGGAUAGCCCCUGGAAACGGGGAUUAAUACUGCGUAAUACCUAAAUACCGCAUGGUAUUAAGGUCAAAUCUACGGAGGUUACAGAUGGGCAUGCGUGCCAUUAGCUAGAUGGUAAGGUAACGGCUUACCAUGGCAAUGAUGGCUAGGGGUUCUGCAAGGAAGGCCCCCCACACUGGUACUGAGGCACGGACCAGACUCCUACGGGAGGCAGCAGUGAGGAAUAUUGGUCAAUGGAGGCAACUCUGAACCAGCCAAGCCGCGUGAAGGAAGACUGUCCUAUGGAUUGUAAACUUCUUUUGUGGCAGAAUAAACUACCGUACUUGUACGGUAUUGCAUGUAUGCCAUGAAUAAGCAUCGGCUAACUCCGUGCCAGCAGCCGCGGUAAUACGGAGGAUGCAGGCGUUAUCCGGAUUUAUUAGGUUUAAAGGGUGUUCAGGCUGCCUGGUAAGUCAGGGGUGAAAGUCGGUUGCUCAACGAUCGAAUUGCCUUUGAAACUGUCAGGCUCGAGUAUGGAUGCGGUAGGCGGAAUGUGUAGUGUAGCGGUGAAAUGCAUAGAUAUUACACAGAACACCGAUUGCGAAGGCAGCUUACCAAACCAGCACUGACGCUGAAGCACGAAAGCGUGGGGAGCGAACCAGGAUUAGAUACCCUGGUAGUCCACGCCGUAAACUUUGCUCACUCGCUGUUGGCGAUAGACAGUCAGCGGCCCAAGGGAAACCGAUAAGUGAGCCACCUGGGGAGUACGGCCGCAAUGUUGAAACUCACAGGAAUUGACGGGGGCCCGCACAAGCGGUGGAACAUGUGGUUUAAUUCGAUGAUACGCG
RNAcentral lists this ribosomal RNA (942 nucleotides) under uncultured organism. RNAcentral's name for it is "bacterial SSU rRNA". It matches the Rfam family "Bacterial small subunit ribosomal RNA", at positions 24 to 963 of the family's 1533-position model. The record is from RNAcentral.